Osmerus eperlanus (European smelt) is the source of this 228-nucleotide long non-coding RNA. RefSeq lists it as uncharacterized. The transcript is spliced from 3 exons. The record is from RefSeq and is a predicted model, not a curated record. Lineage: Eukaryota; Metazoa; Chordata; Actinopteri; Osmeriformes; Osmeridae.
GGAAAAAUUAUGUAGGAGGGAAUGACGACUGGACAGCCUGGGGGCUUGCAGAAGAACCCACAUUCCUCUGGGUUCAGGAGAAGAUCACUUCAACACCACGCCACACACCGGGAAGCUAAGGCCACAACACACAAGUGCAGCUUCCUUCUCCAUGCAGUUCGACCAGUGGUCUUCAACCCUGGUCCUCAGGACCCACUGUCCGGUAUGUUCUAGUUGUUUCCCUGUUCC